CCACUUUAAUAUGAUGGAAAUAAUAAUCACCAAAAAUGUUCUAAUAUGGAAUUUAAUCUGAUUUAUCCAGUUAAAAAUUUUAACUAAUAUAUGAAAGUAUAAUUUAGACAUUUUGAUAGUUUUGGUAAAUUAGGUGCCAGCAACCGCGGUCAAACCUAAAAAAUAAGAUUAUUUACAAAUUAAGGUAAGCAAUGAUCUAUUUUUAUAUACAUAAACAAAUAGUGAAAUACUGCUAUUUAAAAAAACUACUUAAAUUUAUUAUUUAAUAAUCCAAAUAUAAAACUAGGAUUAGAGACCCUACUAUUUUGGGUGGAUUUCUUCCUUAUUAAGGACUAAUGCUAUUUAGGUCUAAACUUAAAUGUUAUGGCGGCUUAAUAAACACUUAGGGGAACUUACCAUGUAAAUGAUAAUCACCAAGGAUAUGCCACUUACUUUUACAACUUGUAUACCGUUGUCUUCAUAACUCAUUUGAAAUGGGUUAAAAAAUUAACUCUAAUAAAAGAUAAAUCAAGGUGCAGUCAAUAAGUAAGAAUUAAGGUGAGUUACAAUAAAUAAUUUAUUCAGAAUAUAGUAUGAAAAACUGUAAGAAGAUGGACUUAAUUGUAAUGGCUUCAAAUUAAUAAUUUGGCCGUGAACAUAAAUUAUUGAGUGUA
RNAcentral lists this ribosomal RNA (653 nucleotides) under Medora garganensis. RNAcentral describes it as "partial 12S ribosomal RNA". The record is from RNAcentral. Lineage: Eukaryota; Metazoa; Mollusca; Gastropoda; Stylommatophora; Clausiliidae.